RNAcentral lists this ribosomal RNA (505 nucleotides) under uncultured bacterium. RNAcentral describes it as "partial 16S ribosomal RNA". It matches the Rfam family "Bacterial small subunit ribosomal RNA", at positions 28 to 507 of the family's 1533-position model. The record is from RNAcentral.
GACGAACGCUGGCGGCGUGCCUAAUACAUGCAAGUAGAACGCACAGUUUAUACCGUAGCUUGCUACACCAUAGACUGUGAGUUGCGAACGGGUGAGUAACGCGUAGGUAACCUGCCUGGUAGCGGGGGAUAACUAUUGGAAACGAUAGCUAAUACCGCAUAAUAUUAAUUAUUGCAUGAUAAUUAAUUGAAAGGUGCAAUUGCACCACUACCAGAUGGACCUGCGUUGUAUUAGCUAGUAGGUGAGGUAACGGCUCACCUCGGCGACGAUACAUAGCCGACCGGGGAGGGUGAUCGGCCACACUGGGACGGAGACACGGCCCAGACUCCUACGGGAGGCAGCAGUAGGGAAUCGUCGGCAAUGGACGAAAGUCUGACCGAGCAACGCCGCGUGAGUGAAGAAGGUUUUCGGAUCGUAAAGCUCUGUUGUAAGAGAAGAACGGGUGUGAGAGUGGAAAGUUCACACUGCGACGGUAGCUUACCAGAAAGGGACGGCUAACUACGUG